UACGUAGGGGGCAAGCGUUGUCCGGAUUUAUUGGGCGUAAAGAGCGUGUAGGCGGCCAGACAGGUCCGUUGUGAAAACUCGAGGCUCAACCUCGAGACGUCGAUGGAAACCGUCGGGCUAGAGUCCGGAAGAGGAGAGUGGAAUUCCUAGUGUAGCGGUGAAAUGCGCAGAUAUCAGGAGGAACACCCGUGGCGAAAGCGGCUCUCUGGGACGGUACUGACGCUGAGACGCGAAAGCGUGGGGAGCGAACAGG
RNAcentral lists this ribosomal RNA (253 nucleotides) under uncultured bacterium. Its description in RNAcentral is "partial 16S ribosomal RNA". It matches the Rfam family "Bacterial small subunit ribosomal RNA", at positions 524 to 776 of the family's 1533-position model. The record is from RNAcentral.